GGAAGUAAAAGUCGAAACAAGGUUUCCGUUGGUGAACCAGCGGAAGGAUCAUUACAGAGAUCGUGCCCUUCGGGGUAGACCUCCCACCCUGUGUUAUUUACGUAUGUUGCUUUGGCGGGCCGCCUCCGGGCUCUCGGCUUCGGCCGAGGUGUGCCCGCCAGAGAACCCACAACCCUGUGUUUAGUGUCGUCUGAGUAUUAUCAAAUAAGUUAAAACUUUCAACAACGGAUCUCUUGGUUCUG
RNAcentral lists this unclassified non-coding RNA (242 nucleotides) under plant metagenome. RNAcentral describes it as "partial contains small subunit ribosomal RNA, internal transcribed spacer 1, and 5.8S ribosomal RNA". The stretch from base 1 to 54 matches the Rfam family "Eukaryotic small subunit ribosomal RNA", at positions 1778 to 1831 of the family's 1831-position model. The record is from RNAcentral.